AAUUGUAUGGUUGGUCAUGCCUCUGGUAUGUACUGGUCUCACUGAUUCCUCCUUCCUGAUGAACCGUAAUGCCAUUAAUUUGGUGUUGCGGGGAAUUUGGACUGUUACUUUGAAAAAAUUAGAGUGUUUAAAGCAAGCUAACGCUUGAAUACAUUAGCAUGGAAUAAUGAAAUAGGACGUUCGAUCCUAUUUUGUUGGUUUCUAGGAUUGACGUAAUGAUUAAUAGGGAUAGUUGGGGG
Molecule: ribosomal RNA, 239 nt
Filed under: uncultured Glomeromycotina
Lineage: Eukaryota; Fungi; Glomeromycota
Description: partial 18S ribosomal RNA
Rfam family: Eukaryotic small subunit ribosomal RNA
Source: RNAcentral